This 282-nucleotide ribosomal RNA is filed under the name uncultured bacterium. Its description in RNAcentral is "partial 16S ribosomal RNA". It matches the Rfam family "Bacterial small subunit ribosomal RNA", at positions 30 to 295 of the family's 1533-position model. The record is from RNAcentral.
AGUGAACGCUGGCGGCAGGCCUAACACAUGCAAGUCGAGCGGCAGCGGGUUCCCGCGAGGGGAUGCCGGCGAGCGGCGGACGGGUGAGGAACACAUCGGAAUCUGCCUGGUUGUGGGGGAUAACGUAGGGAAACUUACGCUAAUACCGCAUGAGACCCUGAGUCGACGGACUGGGGUGAAAGUGAGGGACCUUCGGCCGUCACGCGACCAGAUGAGCCGAUGUCGGAUUAGCUAGUUGGCGGGGUAACGGCCCGCCAAGGCGACGAUCCGUAGCUGGUCUGA